GAGGGAAUAGCUCAACUGGUAGAGUGCAUGCUUAGCAUGCACAAGGUCCUGAGUUCAAUCCCCAGUACCUACU
RNAcentral lists this transfer RNA (73 nucleotides) under Camelus bactrianus (Bactrian camel). It matches the Rfam family "tRNA". Rfam says of the family: Transfer RNA (tRNA) molecules are approximately 80 nucleotides in length. Their secondary structure includes four short double-helical elements and three loops (D, anti-codon, and T loops). The record is from Rfam by way of RNAcentral. RNAcentral also lists the same sequence under 2 other names. Lineage: Eukaryota; Metazoa; Chordata; Mammalia; Artiodactyla; Camelidae.